GGUGGAAUGGCUGAGAAUAGGCAAUAAAUUGUAAAUUUAUUUACGAAAUUAAAAUUUCUUCC
Molecule: transfer RNA, 62 nt
Filed under: Leptinotarsa decemlineata (Colorado potato beetle)
Lineage: Eukaryota; Metazoa; Arthropoda; Insecta; Coleoptera; Chrysomelidae
Description: tRNA-Tyr
Rfam family: tRNA
About the family: Transfer RNA (tRNA) molecules are approximately 80 nucleotides in length. Their secondary structure includes four short double-helical elements and three loops (D, anti-codon, and T loops). Further hydrogen bonds mediate the characteristic L-shaped molecular structure. tRNAs have two regions of fundamental functional importance: the anti-codon, which is responsible for specific mRNA codon recognition, and the 3' end, to which the tRNAs corresponding amino acid is attached (by aminoacyl-tRNA synthetases). tRNAs cope with the degeneracy of the genetic code in two manners: having more than one tRNA (with a specific anti-codon) for a particular amino acid; and 'wobble' base-pairing, i.e. permitting non-standard base-pairing at the 3rd anti-codon position.
Source: RNAcentral